AGAGUUUGAUCCUGGCUCAGAAUGAACGCUGGCGGCGUGGAUAAGACAUGCAAGUCGAACGAAAAGUGAUUUAGUUUACUAAUGAUCUUUUAGUGGCGGACGGGUUAGUAACGCGUGAGCAACCUGCCUUAAAGAGGGGGAUAGUCCUGGGAAACUGGGUUUAAUACCGCAUAAGCUCUACGGAGUAAAGUGGCCUUCGGGUCACGCUUUAAGAUGGGCUCGCGUCCUAUCAGCUUGUUGGUGAGGUAAUGGCUCACCAAGGCGACGACGGGUAGUUGGUCUGAGAGGACGAUCAGCAACACUGGAACUGAGACACGGUCCAGACACCUACGGGUGGCAGCAGUCGAGAAUCAUUCACAAUGGACGAAAGUCUGAUGGUGCAACGCCGCGUGUGGGAUGAAGGCCUUAGGGUCGUAAACCACUGUCAUGUGAGAGUAAGACAUAAUAGUUAAUACCUGUUAUGUUUGAUAGUAUCACAAGAGGAAGGGACGGCUAACUUCGUGCCAGCAGCCGCGGUAAUACGAAGGUCCCGAGCGUUAUUCGGAAUCACUGGGCGUAAAGGGAGCGUAGGCGGCGCGGUAAGUCAGAUGUGAAAUCUCAGAGCUCAACUCUGAAACUGCAUCCGAUACUGCCGUGCUAGAGUAAUGGAGGGGUAACUGGAAUUCUCGGUGUAGCAGUGAAAUGCGUAGAUAUCGAGAG
Molecule: ribosomal RNA, 699 nt
Filed under: uncultured bacterium
Lineage: Bacteria
Description: bacterial SSU rRNA
Rfam family: Bacterial small subunit ribosomal RNA
Source: RNAcentral